UGGGGAAUCUUGCACAAUGGGGGCAACCCUGAUGCAGCGACGCCGCGUGAGCGAUGAAGCCCUUCGGGGCGUAAAGCUCUUUCGACCGGAACGAUAAUGACGGUACCGGGAGAAGAAGCUGCGGCUAACUACGUGCCAGCAGCCGCGGUAAUACGUAGGCAGCAAGCGUUGUUCGGAGUUACUGGGCGUAAAGAGUGCGUAGGCGGUCUUCUAAGUUCGGUGUGAAAUCUCCCGGCUUAACUGGGAGGGUGCGCCGAAGACUGGGAAGCUGGAGUGUGGGAAAGGCAGGCGGAAUUCCUGGUGUGGCGGUGAAAUGCGUAGAUAUCAGGAGGAACACCGGCGGUGUAGACGGCUUGCUAGACCAUAACUGACGCUGAGGCACGAAAGCGUGGGUAGCAAACA
RNAcentral lists this ribosomal RNA (402 nucleotides) under uncultured bacterium. Its description in RNAcentral is "bacterial SSU rRNA". It matches the Rfam family "Bacterial small subunit ribosomal RNA", at positions 355 to 774 of the family's 1533-position model. The record is from RNAcentral.